Molecule: ribosomal RNA, 254 nt
Filed under: uncultured prokaryote
Description: partial 16S ribosomal RNA
Rfam family: Bacterial small subunit ribosomal RNA
Source: RNAcentral
GACGUAGGGCGCGAGCGUUGUCCGGAUUUAUUGGGCGUAAAGAGCUCGUAGGCGGCUUGUCGCGUCGACUGUGAAAUCCCGCGGCUCAACUGCGGGUCUGCAGUCGAUACGGGCAGGCUAGAGUUCGGUAGGGGAGACUGGAAUUCCUGGUGUAGCGGUGAAAUGCGCAGAUAUCAGGAGGAACACCGGUGGCGAAGGCGGGUCUCUGGGCCGAUACUGACGCUGAGGAGCGAAAGCGUGGGGAGCGAACAGGA